Molecule: transfer RNA, 68 nt
Filed under: Salmo salar (Atlantic salmon)
Lineage: Eukaryota; Metazoa; Chordata; Actinopteri; Salmoniformes; Salmonidae
Also listed under: 1 other name
Rfam family: tRNA
About the family: Transfer RNA (tRNA) molecules are approximately 80 nucleotides in length. Their secondary structure includes four short double-helical elements and three loops (D, anti-codon, and T loops).
Source: Rfam by way of RNAcentral
UGCCAUGUGGCUCAGUUGGUAGAGCAUGGUGCUUGCAACACCAAGGUUGUGGAUUUGAUUCCUGGCUG